AAUUCUCAAACCACACUUGUUGUGGCUUGGAUAGUUGGGUGUUGCCGGCAUUAAGUGCUAGGGCUCACCUUAAAUAUAUGAGUGGCAUAUUUAGAAACUUGUUAGGUGUGGUAAAUUAUCAAUACAUCUAUGUUUCUGAAAUGUACUGCUUCUAACCCCAACCCUUUUGAUUA
RNAcentral lists this unclassified non-coding RNA (173 nucleotides) under uncultured Inocybe. RNAcentral's name for it is "sequence contains ITS2". The record is from RNAcentral. Lineage: Eukaryota; Fungi; Basidiomycota; Agaricomycetes; Agaricales; Cortinariaceae.